GUUGACCUCGGAUCAGGUAGGAAUACCCGCUGAACUUAAGACAUAUCAUAAGCGG
Molecule: ribosomal RNA, 55 nt
Filed under: Colletotrichum magnum
Lineage: Eukaryota; Fungi; Ascomycota; Sordariomycetes; Glomerellales; Glomerellaceae
Description: partial 28S ribosomal RNA
Source: RNAcentral